UCUCCGUAGGUGAACCUGCGGAGGGAUCAUUACAGAUUUCACGCCCUCACGGGUAGAUCUCCCACCCUCUGGUAUCGUUACUGUCGUUUCUUUGGCGGGCCGCCGGGUCCCCGCCCGCCGGCGCCUAGUUGCCGGCGCGCGACCGCCAGAGUCCUUCAAACUCUGAAUGUUAGUGUCGUCCGAGUACCAUAUCAUAGUUAAAACUUUCAACAACGGAUCUCUUGGUUCUG
RNAcentral lists this unclassified non-coding RNA (230 nucleotides) under plant metagenome. RNAcentral describes it as "partial contains small subunit ribosomal RNA, internal transcribed spacer 1, and 5.8S ribosomal RNA". The record is from RNAcentral.